RNAcentral lists this ribosomal RNA (101 nucleotides) under Bacillus subtilis Miyagi-4. Its description in RNAcentral is "Large Subunit Ribosomal RNA; lsuRNA; LSU ribosomal RNA". The record is from RNAcentral. Lineage: Bacteria; Bacillati; Bacillota; Bacilli; Caryophanales; Bacillaceae.
AGUUACAAAGGAACGAGGUAGAUGAAGAGGUCUGGAAAGGCCCGCCAUAGGAGGUAACAGCCCUGUAGUCAAAACUUCGUUCUCUCCUGAGUGGAUCCUGA